Molecule: transfer RNA, 70 nt
Filed under: Nimbapanchax petersi
Lineage: Eukaryota; Metazoa; Chordata; Actinopteri; Cyprinodontiformes; Nothobranchiidae
Description: tRNA-Tyr
Rfam family: tRNA
About the family: Transfer RNA (tRNA) molecules are approximately 80 nucleotides in length. Their secondary structure includes four short double-helical elements and three loops (D, anti-codon, and T loops). Further hydrogen bonds mediate the characteristic L-shaped molecular structure. tRNAs have two regions of fundamental functional importance: the anti-codon, which is responsible for specific mRNA codon recognition, and the 3' end, to which the tRNAs corresponding amino acid is attached (by aminoacyl-tRNA synthetases). tRNAs cope with the degeneracy of the genetic code in two manners: having more than one tRNA (with a specific anti-codon) for a particular amino acid; and 'wobble' base-pairing, i.e. permitting non-standard base-pairing at the 3rd anti-codon position.
Source: RNAcentral
GGUAGGAUGGCUGAGAGGCAAGCGGCGGAUUGUAGCUCCGUGAACAGAGGUUUAAUUCCUCUUCCUACCA